CAUUUAGCUCUGCAGUGAGCACCACUUGCAAAUGAUAGUCCUAAAAGUUAUUAAAAAUGUAACACCGUGUUCUAUUUUAGUUGCAGAGUACAACUGCAAAUGUGAACGAUAUUGUAAACGAGCGUGUAUCCAUAUAUCGUUUUUCCCGUUCCACUGCGUUACUUUUUCAUUGUUUUUCUAUUGUUUUUCAUUGUUUUUGGUUUUGUUUAUGCUCCGCCAAGCGCGCAUGUGGUGUUGCCAUGUCCACUUAUUAUAAGCAUCUUUGGGAGUCUUAUUUUCUUCCAAUACUAAGCUGGAGUGUGUACGGCCGAUCAUUCACAUCUGAACAUCGCUUAGACACUAAAAACAACUCCUUGGUAAAUAAAAAGCGGACGAGCGCACAAUUCUCAUCUAACGUUAGUCUCCCCGACCACGGCAAACACGGAAGUGUACUGUUUUAACCCGCGACGGAGAUAAACUUACUUUCUUCCGGGAAACACGAAGGGUGGUGGAAAACAGAAAGUAAUGAGGAAGAAGAUGCAAUGAAUGUUAAAGCAGAAGCAGUACCACAUGACUGCAGCUACAAUCAACAGAGCUCCAGCAGCAGCAGAAAUCAGCACUAUGUACGAUAAAGGAGAGAGUCACAUGACCCACAUUCACCACUGAACACA
Sinocyclocheilus rhinocerous is the source of this 650-nucleotide long non-coding RNA. RefSeq lists it as uncharacterized. Lineage: Eukaryota; Metazoa; Chordata; Actinopteri; Cypriniformes; Cyprinidae. The transcript is spliced from 3 exons. The record is from RefSeq and is a predicted model, not a curated record.